This 322-nucleotide long non-coding RNA is filed under the name Phaseolus vulgaris (common bean). Its description in RNAcentral is "long non-coding RNA (PVUL_LNC002638)". Lineage: Eukaryota; Viridiplantae; Streptophyta; Magnoliopsida; Fabales; Fabaceae. The record is from RNAcentral.
AAAAAUGAAUAGAAAAGCAAAGGAAGAAUCUUUGAUAAGUACAGAUUCUUGGGGAUCCACAUCCAAUGUGAGAAUUUGCUCAUCAGCAGUCAUGACAGUGAUCUUCAUCUUCAAUUUAAUUCAACCGUUUCUCUCUCUCUUUCUCACUCUCUAGAUUUGGUGAGAACGAUUUUGUUGUUGUUGGGUACGAGGGAGAGAGAGGUUUGGAUGGGAGAUUAGGUACAGAAAACAAGACUGUUGGAAGACUCCUAUGCUGCCUUUUAAGGUCUGUGACUUGCUGAGGAGGUUUGGUUUCACUGGUGACUUCUCAACUAAGAAAAUC